UCAUCUUCAAUUUAACAAAAACUAGCAUGAAUCUCUGUUCAAUAAUCAGCAGUAAUACCUUAAACAAAUAAAAAAAUUUCAGAGCCAUUUUCAAUCUGUCACACGGCAGCAUAACAAAUCACAAGCCAUUUUCAAUCAAUCACAAGCUAACAUGCAUUUGCAACAAUCAUUCACCUACAACUAACAUUAAUCGAUGGAAAAAAAUGUAAGC
This 211-nucleotide long non-coding RNA is filed under the name Citrus sinensis (sweet orange). Its description in RNAcentral is "long non-coding RNA (CSIN_LNC005612)". Lineage: Eukaryota; Viridiplantae; Streptophyta; Magnoliopsida; Sapindales; Rutaceae. The record is from RNAcentral.